Molecule: long non-coding RNA, 612 nt
Organism: Salvia splendens (bonfire salvia)
Lineage: Eukaryota; Viridiplantae; Streptophyta; Magnoliopsida; Lamiales; Lamiaceae
Exons: 3
Source: RefSeq, a predicted model, not a curated record
UACCCUCUCAUUCCAUCCCAUCAACCCCACAAUCAACACCAUUCUCCACCGUUUCUAAACUGCCAAAAACCCUAGCCGUCGCUCUAACCCCCGAUUUUCACCCUUUCUCACUGCAAAAAGCAUCGUAGGUCGCCGAUUCACAGGUUUGAAGUACCGAUUUCUAGUUUCGCGCGCGACAAUUGAUUGUCUGAAGUUCCGAUUUUCGUUUUUGAAGGAAUUGAACUGAUUUCGUUGCUGUGUACUACAAAACAUCAAUGACGAAGUGAGGAAGACCAUUCAAGAGUCAACCAACACAGUCAAAAGCAAUUAAGCAACGUCUCGUUGAUUUCGAUGAAGCAGUAGAUGAUGUAAUUCCAAUUGCAUUAGCACAGAAGCUUCGGCACAGAUUAGCCGAGGACAAACCAGAUUAGCCGACUUGUUGGCUUGCUCGUUUUGGAACAAUAUUAAGUGUUAUGAAGUGAUGUGAAUCAAAUGAUACAAAUUAUACUCCAAGUUUUCUCCUAUUUUGUAUAUUUAAAUCAUCUAUAAAUUGAUCAUUAAGGUUUGAUUAUUAUAUAUUAGUUGAUAGAUGUACAUGUGGAGUGACUACAAUGAGCCAAAGCGGUGGGGUCU